GUCAUUAAUCCAGAAGAUUGCAAUAUCUCUCUACAAUGCAAUGAAGAUCAAAUUUGCUAUACAGAACACAUUUACCUUAACCAGGAAAAAAGAUUCAGAAUGGGCUGUACACCAAAGUCAGGAUGUCUUGCCACCACUUCCUCGGGAGCUCAGGUGGGAAUUCUUGGAAAGCGAGACAAUGAGGUAUCGUUCUUACACCGCUGUAGAAUGGCGUCACGUGCAGACCGUAAAUA
Long non-coding RNA from Saccostrea cuccullata (small rock oyster), 233 nucleotides. RefSeq lists it as uncharacterized. The record is from RefSeq and is a predicted model, not a curated record. NCBI's taxonomy places the organism in Eukaryota, Metazoa, Mollusca, Bivalvia, Ostreida, Ostreidae. The transcript is spliced from 3 exons.